Molecule: non-coding RNA, 706 nt
Filed under: Abscondita chinensis
Lineage: Eukaryota; Metazoa; Arthropoda; Insecta; Coleoptera; Lampyridae
Source: RNAcentral
UUAUUUAAUAUGUAAAUAUUAUAUUAAAAAUUUAUUUGCAGUUUUUAGUUUUAAAACAUUAUUUAAGUAAGUUUUAGUAAUUAAUUAUAGAUUUAAUAAAAUUUGUGCCAGCAAUUGCGGUUAUACAAAUAAUUCAAUUGAAAUUUAUUGGUUAAUAAUUAAUUUGUUUUAAUUAAUUUAUUAUUAAAAUUUUUAAGUGAAAUUUAAAUUUUAAUAUAAUUUUUUUGUUUAUAUUUGAAGUUAUUAAAAUUAAUAUUAAACUAGGAUUAGAUACCCUAUUAUUAUAAUUGUAAAGUUUAAAUACCAGAUUAGUAUUAGUUGUUUUCUUAAAAAUUAAAGGAUUUGGCGGUAUUUUAGUCUAUUCAGAGGAACCUGUCCUGUAAUCGAUAAUCCACGAUUAGAAUAACUUUUCUUUUUCUUGUAUAUCGUUGUUUUUGAAUAUUUUAUAAGAAUUUAAAUUUUCAAUAAGUAUAUUUUAGUUAAUUUCAGAUCAAGGUGCAGUUUAUAGGAAAGAAGAUGAUGGGUUACAUUAAAUUUAUUUUUGGUUUAAUAUUUUGAAUAAUAUUAUUAAAUUGGAUUUGAUAGUAAUAUUUUAUAUAUUUAUUAUAUGAUUUUAGCUCUAAAAUGUGUACAUAUUGCCCGUCGCUCUCAUUUAUUUGAGAUAAGUCGUAACAAAGUAGAUUUACUGGAAAGUGAAUCUAGUAUU